This 344-nucleotide ribosomal RNA is filed under the name Thunnus albacares (yellowfin tuna). Its description in RNAcentral is "partial 12S ribosomal RNA". It matches the Rfam family "Bacterial small subunit ribosomal RNA", at positions 794 to 1384 of the family's 1533-position model. Lineage: Eukaryota; Metazoa; Chordata; Actinopteri; Scombriformes; Scombridae. The record is from RNAcentral.
GCCUAGCCGUAAACAUUGAUAGAUCUAUCCGCCUGGGUACUACGAGCAUUAGCUUGAAACCCAAAGGACUUGGCGGUACUUUAGAUCCCCCUAGAGGAGCCUGUUCUAUAACCGAUGACCCCCGUUCAACCUCACCCUCCCUUGCCCGCCUAUAUACCGCCGUCGUCAGCUUACCCUGUGAAGGUCUAAUAGUAAGCAAAAUUGGCACCGCCCAGAACGUCAGGUCGAGGUGUAGCGCAUGAGAGGGGAAGAAAUGGGCUACAUUCGCUCGAGCACUGAAAGAAGGAGGAUUUAGCAGUAAGUGGAAAAUAGAGUGUUCCACUGAAAUCUGCUCUGAAGUGCGU